This 468-nucleotide ribosomal RNA is filed under the name uncultured bacterium. Its description in RNAcentral is "partial 16S ribosomal RNA". It matches the Rfam family "Bacterial small subunit ribosomal RNA", at positions 28 to 507 of the family's 1533-position model. The record is from RNAcentral.
GACGAACGCUGACGGCGUGCUUAACACAUGCAAGUCGAACGGAAAGGCCCUGCUUUUGUGGGGUGCUUGAUUGGCGAACGGGUGAGUAACACGUGAGUAACCUGCCCUUGACUUUGGGAUAACUCCAGGAAACUGGGGCUAAUACCGGAUAGGAGCUCCUGCUGCACGGUGGGGGUUGGAAAGUUUCGGCGGUUGUGGAUGGACUCGCGGCUUAUCAGCUUGUUGGUGGGGUAGUGGCAUACCAAGGCUUUGACGGGUAGUCGGCCUGAGAGGGUGACCGGCCUCAAUAGGACUGAGAUACGAAGCAGACUCCUACGGGAGGCAGGAGUGGGAAGUAUUGCAGAAUGGGCCGAAGCCUGAUACAGCAGCGCCGCGUGCGGGAUGACGGCCUUCGGGUGGUAAACCGAUUUCGCCUGUGACGUGGCGUGAGUGACGGUAAUGGGUAAAGAAGCACCGGCUAACUACGUG